CCCCGGGUUCACACCCGGGGCUACCUUGUGCCGUCCCUCCGGGGCU
Molecule: small RNA, 46 nt
Filed under: Fimbriiglobus ruber
Lineage: Bacteria; Pseudomonadati; Planctomycetota; Planctomycetia; Gemmatales; Gemmataceae
Description: Acido-Lenti-1 RNA
Rfam family: Acido-Lenti-1 RNA
Source: Rfam by way of RNAcentral